AGGAUUGUAGUCAAUUAUGAUGUGUGAUUUGCACUCACAAGGUGUUUUACUUAAACCUAUCUUA
RNAcentral lists this transfer RNA (64 nucleotides) under Thenus orientalis. RNAcentral describes it as "tRNA-Ala". Lineage: Eukaryota; Metazoa; Arthropoda; Malacostraca; Decapoda; Scyllaridae. The record is from RNAcentral.